AAAAAGCUUGUCCGGAGAAGACAAGGUGAGCGCUACCAUCAGUCCUGUGUCAUGCCAACAGUAAAGCAUCCUGAGACCAUUCAUGUGUGGGGUUGCUUCUCAGCCAAGGGAGUGGGCUCACUCACAUUUUUGCUUAAGAACACAGCCAUGAAUAAAGAAUGGUACCAACAUUGUCAGAGAGCAACUUCUCCCAACCAUCCAGGAACAGUUUGGUGACGAACAAUGCCUUUUCCAGCAUGAUGGAGCACCUUGCCAUAAGGCAAAAGUAAUAACUAAGUAUCUCGGGGAACAAAGCAUUUAUAUUUUAGGUCCAUGGCCAGGAAACUCACCAGACCUUAAUCCUAUUGAGAACGUGUGGUCAAUCCUCAAGUGGAUGGUAGACAAAACAAAAACCCACAAAUUCUGACAAACUCUAAGCAUUGAUUAUGCAAGAAUGGGCUGCCAUCAGUCAGGAUGUGGCCCAGAAGUUAAUUGACAGCAUGCCAGGGUGGAUUGCAGAGGUCUUGACAAAGAAGUGUCAACACUGCAAAUAUUGACUCUUUGCAUCAACUUCAUGUAAUUGUCAAUAAAAGCCUUUGACACUUAUGAAAUUCAUGUAAUUAUAAUUCAGUAUUCCAUAGUAACAUCUGACAAAAUAUCUAAAGAUUCUGAAGCAGCAAACUGCGGAAAUUAAUAUUUGUGUCAUCCUCAACUUUUGGCCACAAAUUUAUUAUGGAUUGAUUAUUAUGCUGAUUGUGACAUGUGUAAAGAAGUUGUGUACUAUAGAUGUUGACAUCGUUUUCACCAUGCCCUGGUGAAUGGAGAGGGUGAACUCUGAUCCUGAGAGUGAAUCUGAUCCUAAUCCAUUACUGAAAUUACAUUUAAUGAUAAUCAGGAACUAUAGUAGGUUUAUGCUAAUGGAACAUAGUGUUACCUUGUAAAUAGUGGGAUCGUGAUGCUUGUCCUGGGUCAUGUUCAUUAACCACCAAAAGGAAGACAUUUUACUGAAACCGGGAAUCACUACCUGGAUUUGUCCAAUGAAAUAUGCUAAUUUCCGUUUCUACAGAUGGUGCUAUACAGAUGAAAAUGGCUAUUUCCAUCAUGCUGACCCUUACCAUUGUGCAUGGUGCCAGUGUGACGACUGUCCUAUUUGCAAAGAAACUGAGUUUCUUGAGAGGAGCUCCCUGCAGCUAGUCUGGGUGUAUGGUCACUAGAGAUAGCUUGAGCUGACAACUGAUUUCAGCCUGCAUUCCAUAGACAAGAUGUGGUGGGUGUAACCAAGAUAGAGAGCCUGGAGGAGUGGAACCAAACCCUUAUUGUGUCUAAUCAUCCUUGCAUCUGGAGGACUAAGCCAGGUUGGGGAUAACCACAGGAGAACCCAAGGUGGCUUAUGAUUUGUAGUGUCAGAUAUAAGAACCAUGAUUCCUCUGCUCACUGGGCUCUCAACGAAUCACCUACGGGUGAGUCACUGACCAGCCUCAUUACGGCAGAGCA
Long non-coding RNA from Oncorhynchus masou masou (cherry salmon), 1473 nucleotides. RefSeq lists it as uncharacterized. The transcript has 3 exons. The record is from RefSeq and is a predicted model, not a curated record. Lineage: Eukaryota; Metazoa; Chordata; Actinopteri; Salmoniformes; Salmonidae.